UUUGCUUUGUCAUUAACGAUUGUCAUUGCAAUGUUGAGCUAGAUUGCCGAUCGCUACUUGUUAUUGACACUCCUCGGUAGAGUCGGCAGGUAAAACGGACUUCGCAAUAGCGGACUUAACGAUGUCGAUUGACUUCGAGUAGCUGUGGCCAAGUCAGGACUGUUAUAGUCCCCGCCGCCCAAGAAGUGUAGCCCCCGAUCGCUCGUCCCCUCCCAGUCCUCCGACUGUCCCGCACGAUUGCUCGUCGCUCCAACCGCCACCCCUUCGCCGACGGGCCUCUAGGUUCGAUGUGGAGCGCCACAGACCAGAGUGGUCCGUGAGUAACGGCCGGAGCGGCCGUAGGGCUCCACCGUGUUGCUGCCGGCGCGAGUUGUGGGAGAAAGUGCUGAGCUGCUGCCGGAUCGCGGUAUCCGCCGAGUAUGCCACCAGGUCGCCUGCCGCCGGAGUCACCCACGAGCUGCUGCUGGCAUCGACCACGUGCUCGAACGUGAGUUGGUCAGAUCUGAGUUGAGGAGUAUAGCCCACGCCUGACUCUCAACCUACGAGACACGGUCGUAUACCUACACAACGCUGUGACAACGAAGCCGACACUCACCAGGUCCUAACGUUGGACCACAGUAGGUGAAGGAUGAGUGUCCAAUGGCAUCACAAUACAUUUUGUAUGGGUUCGAGAGCAAGGAAUUUUAAUAGGUAGAUAAUUGACCUAAUACUUAUUAACGAGAACGUUCACUUAAAAGUAAUGCACGCAACUCCUCCUACGCGCCAGAAGUCUGAGCCACUAAAGACCAAAAAAAGUAAACUAGUAAAGACGUCUCUAACAGGAAGAUACGUAAUAAACCAUUGGUAGAUGAUGUCUAGUCGAUGAUGGGACGACGACGGGAACACCACUUACUAACUACCACGUACAAAAGUACAAUCAAAAAGACAUACGGUUCAGACUUAAAAUAGUAAAACGUAAAGAGGUCGGGAAAGUAAGAGUGACACUAAGGGACUCUACGUAACAGGUAUCCGUUACGUGAAAGAUUAUUUUAUACCGCCACUUGAACUUUUCUCAUUAAAUAGAUCGAUGUUUUUGGACAACAAAUACAAGGAACGAAAACGUUUAUCAUCAAAUACCAACUGUGAAAUCAGAUAUAGACAGUACGUGGGUAGACCUGAUAUUUAUCCUGGGAGGUGGUGGUGAACGAUCGUUCAUGAUGUAGUAUGUCGUUGUCUGUGGUACCUAGAUGAAGACGAUGAGUAGAGCGAAGAAUACCAGUGAUGUCCUAUCCCUUAGACCGAACGCUCAAAACGGCUACGCUGGUACUGCCGCUACGGUUUGAGACUCCUCUAUGGUUUCCACAUGACCCUAUUAGGACAACACGAAACAAAGACAUACUAGAUUUUGAUGUUCCUAGAACACGUCAAGGCUACAAGACCUUACUCAUGCUUAGAAUGAUAUAGACUUGAACACUUUAAUCAGACUCAGACUGUCGCAACGUUGGUUUUGGUUUUGGUGUUCCCAGAACACGUCAAGUCUACAAGACCUUACUCAUGCCUAAAAUGAUAUAGACUUGAAACACUCAGACUGUCGGAACGUUGGUCUUGGUUUUAAUGUCCCUAUAACACUGUCGGGAGGUUGGUUUUGAUUUUGAUGUCCCUAGAACACGUCAAGUUACGACGGACAACAAACAACCUUAUAGUCGAUAGAACAAACACGUGUUAUUGGACGAAUAGUACUUUUUCAUCUUAUAAAAUCCUACCCCUAGUUCAACCAACCGUAAACAAUUCUAGAAGUACUCUUCGUCUAGAAGAGUCGGCUUGAAAAGAAAAAAUAAGCAGAACCAUUAGACUCUUAUAUAAAGAAUCAAUCUAUAGUUAAUGUGUUGAUACUGUGUUACUUAAGUGACAAAACUGCCCUGGAACGACUACAUUUAGUUACAUUAUUUUAACCGCGU
This 1937-nucleotide ribosomal RNA is filed under the name Triticum aestivum (bread wheat). Its description in RNAcentral is "partial small subunit ribosomal RNA". Lineage: Eukaryota; Viridiplantae; Streptophyta; Magnoliopsida; Poales; Poaceae. The record is from RNAcentral.